CCCGCACCUCAGAUCUCCAGAUUUCCGCAUUAUUCCGCAUUUUUUCCUCAUUUUAAUAUGGAAAAAAUGUGGAAAAAAAUACGGAGAAAAUUAACAAUACGGAAAAGCAGAAAAUAUACGGAAAUAAUCCGGAAAAUAAACGGAAAUAAUACGGAGAAUUGGACUUAGUCUGUGUUUCAUCUGGAAAAAUAUUGAACUCUUAACUUAGAAUAUUUUUCAUCUGGAAAAAAUACGGAGCUCUGGACUUAGAAUUUUUUCAUCAAGAACAAGAUGUGUUUGUGAGACACAGUAGCACCUGGCGGCAACAUUAAGUUCUAAAAAGCAAUUUUUAGCAAAUGGGUCUCAGUCAAGGUCACACAAUCAUUGUUCUUGGUGUCAUUUGAAAGCACUUUAUUAGUGUAGUAUGCAUACCAAAUAUUAAGUCUCUAUCAUCUAUGGUUCAAAAGUUAUGGUGAAAAUUCGAAAAAAGCUAUAUUUACCAUAUAGGUCACAGUCAAGGUCACAAGGUCAUUGACCUUGGUGUCAGUUGAAGGUGCCUAAUUAGUGGAGUAUGCAUACCAAAUAUGAAGUCUCUAUCUCUCACGGUUUAAAAGUUAUGGUGAAAGUUCGAAAAAGCUAUUUUUAGCAUAUAGGUCACAGUCAAGGUCACAAGGUCAUUGACCUUGGUGUCAGCUGAAAGUGUUUUUGUAGUGGAGUAUCCAUACCAAAUAUGAAGUCUCUAAGUCUCACGGUUCAAAAGUUAUGGCGAAGGUUAAAGUUGACAACAGACAAACAAACAGACAGACAUACAGCUAAACAGACAGACAGGACAAAAACAAUAUGCGCCCCAAAAAAAUUUGGGUGCAUAAAAACUGUCUUGGAGUUAACAGCAGUUCUCUGUUUCUCCUGAAUGUUAUGUACAAUUUGAUCGGGAUCGGAAGAAUGUUUCAAAAAGUCGGGCUCAGUGAUCAAUUAAUUUUAACAACAGACCGCCAAAAUUUAACCUUGGCCUCCAUGUUGCAACGUCUGCUCUGUCUAAAGGAAGAAGUUUGUUGACCAGACAGCCUGAGAUCGUAUUGCUGUAUCAACCAAAAGAUGCAGAUACACGUAUUUCAUAUGCGCGUCUGUGCAUGAGGAGGAGAUUUCUGAAAAAGAGUAAGUGCUUAUUCAACUUACUGCGAUUUUAACGGGCUUAAAGCUUGGUCCAUGGAUGGUUAUGUUUGAGGAUUUGCCAAUUCGACCGCAAGUGCUGCUGCAAGAAAUUAAACAUGCAGAGACCUUACAAAUUACAAAGAAGUCUGAAGAAAAUUUUUAUUGGACAGAUGGGUGUAAAGCACAGACCUGAGAUAUAAAUUGAAUUGUGAGAAAUAUGAAUCAGGGAUGCAGAUAGAAAAUGGCAAAUGUGAUCCAGAUUGAUAAAAAAUGUCUAAAAUUUUUUCUUGUUUUGUAAAUAUUCAAUGCUAUGUCAAUUGUUAUUUUUUCCCCAAUACCUAAUAGUGUUGAACAUUUCACUCCCACUUUUGCUUAAAUAGAAUGAAUAAAUUUCCAUUU
Long non-coding RNA from Saccostrea cuccullata (small rock oyster), 1530 nucleotides. RefSeq lists it as uncharacterized. The record is from RefSeq and is a predicted model, not a curated record. The transcript is spliced from 3 exons. NCBI's taxonomy places the organism in Eukaryota, Metazoa, Mollusca, Bivalvia, Ostreida, Ostreidae.